AGAGUUUGAUCAUGGCUCAGGAUGAACGCUAGCUACAGGCUUAACACAUGCAAGUCGAGGGGCAGCAUUUUAGUUUGCUUGCAAACUAAAGAUGGCGACCGGCGCACGGGUGAGUAACACGUAUCCAACCUGCCGAUAACUCGGGGAUAGCCUUUCGAAAGAAAGAUUAAUAUCCGAUAGUAUAUUAAAACCGCAUGGUUUUACUAUUAAAGAAUUUCGGUAUCGAUGGGGAUGCGUUCCAUUAGUUGUUGGCGGGGUAACGGCCCACAAGACUACGAUGGAUAGGGGUUCUGAGAGGAAGGUCCCCCANAUUGGAACUGAGACACGGUCCAAACUCCUACGGGAGCA
RNAcentral lists this ribosomal RNA (348 nucleotides) under uncultured bacterium. RNAcentral describes it as "bacterial SSU rRNA". It matches the Rfam family "Bacterial small subunit ribosomal RNA", at positions 8 to 349 of the family's 1533-position model. The record is from RNAcentral.